CUUCCUAGUGGAGAAGAGAAGAGAAGCAAUGGACACUUCUGGUAGUAAAGUCUCUUAGCAGAGUGGAGCAAAUCUCAGUUGCAAUGGUUCUCUCUAAAAAGGAGCCAGAGUGCUACAUCCUGCACAGAGACCAUCCCACCUUGAACACAACUUCACUUAUAGCAUGACUUCCUGACGGUCAGGAUACCGUUUUCCUCACAUCUGUGUGAUUCCAGGAUAUCUUCCCUUCACAGCAGCAUGUAUAGCCUGACAUUGGACACUCAGGGUAGAUUUUUCUUCAGAGCCCUAGGUAUCCAAAGAUUCAGUAAUAGGAUGACCUCCCAAAAGUCGUCAUACAUUUCUCUUCAGAGCUGCAAGUCACUAGGAAUAUAUUUCCUGCUGUCCAGGACUGGAAGAGAAUAUACUAAGCUACAAAUUUCACAAACUAGAGCCACGUCAGCCCCUAGGUUGGAAUGGCAGUGCUGAGGCAAUCUGUGUUGCCUUAGUCAUCUGAUCACUGCUAUUAUCUAUUAGGGGAGCUGCUGUUCUCUUUAGGCCCAACUGGGGAAUACUAGCUAUUGUGGCACUCUAGGCAAGCCUAGCAAUCAAGAGCAUCAAUGGGAGGUACAUUCUGUCUUUUUUUUCCUAAAGUUCUCCUGUAAUGCAUGUAUAAGAAGCCAUGUGGGUUACCAUACACCAUGCCAUGUUGAGUGAAGGUUACCUUAACUGUCAUAUCUGUUGGGAAUUGAAUGGAUCUUGAGACAGUCUGGUUCUUUGGGUCCAUGAGAUCACCUGUGCAUUGACCCUUCCCCAGUAAGUCUUUCUGGAGUGUGCAUUCACUAGGGACAGGGAGGUUUUCUAGGCCCAGCUAUGGGAGAUGUGCUAUUUAAAGCAUCAUUGUCAUGUGUGAACACACAGGCAUUGCUUUCAGUGUGUUGCAUUAGGAAGACAGAUUAUAAAACUGACAGCCUGGUUUGCAGAAAUUCCCCAAGUUGCAAUCCACAUUCAGGUCUGUGUGAUCAGUUCUACAGAUAGUUUAGAAACUGGUAGAAAUGAUGAAAUGAGGGUCAUCCUUCAGAAAUACUUGAUUAGUAUGCUUUUAACUUUCCUCUACCACCAGCUAUGUUGUCUUAAUUCAGGGAAAUACUAUUUCAGUGAAGAAAUGACAUUUCUGAGCUGCAGAGGUUCCUUUGCUGUUGAUGGUGUUGGGCAGCUACAUAAGCAGAUUCCACAUCUUGUGCCACAAUCCAUUAGUAAUGAUAAUCUCUCUGAUCAUUCUUUCACAAAUAUUGUACACAUUCUUCAUUGUUGUGGAUAUGUGUUAAGUACUAAAAUUUACAGCAUGUGUACCCUGUUUUCUUAAUUGUAUUGAGAAUUCUUAGUUUUUCCACAUGUCACAUACAUUUGUAAUCAGCUAUCCUUUUAUAAUUUGUUGGGAAUUUUGUAUGGAUUAUCUUUAAUUUAUUCUGUAAAUAUAAGCAAC
This 1462-nucleotide long non-coding RNA is filed under the name Cricetulus griseus (Chinese hamster). RNAcentral's name for it is "lncRNA (ENSCGRG00015032323.1)". The record is from RNAcentral. Lineage: Eukaryota; Metazoa; Chordata; Mammalia; Rodentia; Cricetidae.